GGAUUGUGGCUCAUUGGUAGAGCACUCUUCUUGCAUAUGUGAGGCCCUGGGUUCAAUCCUCAGCACCA
This 68-nucleotide transfer RNA is filed under the name Marmota monax (woodchuck). Its description in RNAcentral is "tRNA.Ala". The stretch from base 5 to 65 matches the Rfam family "tRNA", at positions 6 to 65 of the family's 71-position model. From Rfam's summary of the family: Transfer RNA (tRNA) molecules are approximately 80 nucleotides in length. Their secondary structure includes four short double-helical elements and three loops (D, anti-codon, and T loops). The record is from RNAcentral. Lineage: Eukaryota; Metazoa; Chordata; Mammalia; Rodentia; Sciuridae.